GAUGAACGCUGACAGCAUGCUUAACACAUGCAAGUCAACUUGAAUUUGGGUUUUUAACUUCGGUUUGGGUGGCGGACGGGUGAGUAACGCGUAAAGAACUUGCCUCACAGCUAGGGACAACAUUUGGAAACGAAUGCUAAUACCUAAUAUUAUGAUAAUAGGGCAUCCUAUAAUUAUGAAAGCUAUAAGCGCUGUGAGAGAGCUUUGCGUCCCAUUAGCUAGUUGGAGAGGUAACGGCUCACCAAGGCGAUGAUGGGUAGCCGGUCUGAGAGGGUGAUCGGCCACAAGGGGACUGAGACACGGCCCUUACUCCUACGGGAGGCAGCAGUGGGGAAUAUUGGACAAUGGACCGAGAGUCUGAUCCAGCAAUUCUGUGUGCACGAUGAAGUUUUUCGGAAUGUAAAGUGCUUUCAGUUGGGAAGAAACAAAUGACGGUACCAACAGAAGAAGUGACGGCUAAAUACGUG
This 467-nucleotide ribosomal RNA is filed under the name uncultured bacterium. RNAcentral describes it as "partial 16S ribosomal RNA". It matches the Rfam family "Bacterial small subunit ribosomal RNA", at positions 28 to 507 of the family's 1533-position model. The record is from RNAcentral.